AUGUUUGAUAUUUAUGAUACAUCUUAUACCAUGGAUUUAGAGGAUUUCACAACUGCUUGCAAACUCCCGCAAUGGGGUAAUAUUAAUGAUCCUCGCAAAUCUGAAUUUAGAGAUUUUCUUGCUAGUAUUACUGUGGGAGAAUCUAGGGACAUAGCACAAGCCACCAUAGGGAGCAUUCAUUUUCCUGCUAUACAUUAUUUUGCUCUCUUUAUUGGUAGAUGCAUUAACGGUAAAGACGAAGCUUGUCACAUGUGUGUCCCUGAUCUGUGUGUCCUCAAGAGUGCUGUUUCAGGUUAUAAAGGUUAUAACUUGGGGGCAAUAGUUGCACGUCGGUUGCAGAAUAAUAGUAGAAAGGGAGAUUUAUUUGGAGGAAUUUAUGCAACCCGUGUGGCUAAUUUUCUUAAUAUAGCCCCAUGA
This 417-nucleotide ribosomal RNA is filed under the name Triticum aestivum (bread wheat). RNAcentral describes it as "partial small subunit ribosomal RNA". The record is from RNAcentral. Lineage: Eukaryota; Viridiplantae; Streptophyta; Magnoliopsida; Poales; Poaceae.